GGCAGAGAGAGCCCGGUUCCCGUGCCCCGCAUCCGCGAGGCAUGAGGAAAGUCCCCCCACCGUCCGGACAGGUGACCGGGCGCAAGCCCGGAGUCGGAGACGGCUGGCUCUGAAACAGAAACGAGACCCCUCGACCCGACCGAUGAUGCGUGCGAACCGACCCGUAAGGGAAGGGAGUUAACCCGCAGAGGGAUGCGCGGUCACUUCGUGGCCGCGCGCGGACGGUCGAGAACGGAUGGAACGGUGAAUCCUCACCGGUGCAAGUCCGCGCCGCCAAGGUAGUCCGGACAGCACCCUCGGGACGGCCCGAGGUGCCCCCGGAGUCGUCCGGGGAGGACGCGGACGCUUAGCCGAAUGCCGGGACGAACAGAAGGGGGCUUACUCCUCUCAGCC
RNAcentral lists this RNase P RNA (393 nucleotides) under Halopelagius inordinatus. RNAcentral describes it as "Archaeal RNase P". It matches the Rfam family "Archaeal RNase P". Rfam says of the family: Ribonuclease P (RNase P) is a ubiquitous endoribonuclease, found in archaea, bacteria and eukarya as well as chloroplasts and mitochondria. Its best characterised activity is the generation of mature 5'-ends of tRNAs by cleaving the 5'-leader elements of precursor-tRNAs. The record is from Rfam by way of RNAcentral. Lineage: Archaea; Methanobacteriati; Methanobacteriota; Halobacteria; Halobacteriales; Haloferacaceae.